AACGAGGCCGACCUGCGGCUGAGUUACCUGCGGAGGGAUCAUUACAGAGUUGCAAAACUCCCUAAACCAUUGUGAACGUUACCUAAACCGUUGCUUCGGCGGGCGGCCCGGGUCCUUCCCGGCGCCCAUCGGCCCUCGCGGGCGCCCGCCGGAGGUAAACCAAACUAUUGCAUUGUAUGGCCUCUCUGAGUCUUCUGUACUGAAUAAGUCAAAACUUUCAACAAUGGAUCUCAGAUCGGA
Molecule: unclassified non-coding RNA, 240 nt
Filed under: soil metagenome
Description: partial contains 5.8S ribosomal RNA, internal transcribed spacer 2, and large subunit ribosomal RNA
Source: RNAcentral